UGAUGCUUACGGAGGAGAGAGCCAGAGCUAUUAACUUUUUGGCGAAGGCAGAUACGUGGAAGAUAAGGUUUCUGUUGAAGAAACCUUCAAUGUCGUAUGUCGAAAAUAUUUAUUUAAUGACAUUUACAGCAGAAGUAUGGAUAGCAACAGUUAGCAUUUUGUUCGUGUUCUGUUUAGCGAUAUACUUUCUAAUGAAUUGGGAGAAGAAAGAGUUGCAAAAUGAAAAUCAAAAUAUAUCCAAAAAAUAUACUGUAAGUGAUGCUAGUUUGCUAUCGUUUGAGGCUUUGUGUCAACAAGGUUCUGAGCUAAAAUCAAAGACUUACGCUGGAAAAAUCUUAUUGUUUUUGUUAUUCGCAGCACUCAUGUUCCUGUAUUCUGCUUAUUCAGGCUACAUACUAGUUUUGCUGCAAUCAACCACACCUAUAAAGUCUAUUCGUCAUCUGGUUGACAGUAGACUGGAAGUUGGUGGUAUUAACGUCAGUUACCAAUUUCCUCAUUACAACCUGACCAAAGAUCCCGAUCUAAUAGAACUUUAUAGAAAGAAAAUACAUCCAAAUAGAUUCUAUUCUCUCGAGGUUGGACUACAAAAAGUACGAAAAGGAAAUUUCGCGUUUCAGACUGACAUUGGCCCUAGCUACAAUUACAUCAUCAAAACCUUCAAAAAUUAUGAUAUAUGCACAUUGCAAGAACUAUCGUCUUUUAUGAACGUAAGUUUUUAUUUACGUAUAAAGAGAGAAAAAUCUAGACAAUAUACUUUGAGACAAACUUAACCUGUUACUAUGUUUUAGAGUCCGCAGUAUUAUGCAACACCCAAAGUUUCGAAUUUUAAAAAAUUCCUUAAAAUUGGGAUUUUAGUCGCUUCUGAAGCAGGACUAGCACAUAGGGUUAAACAUAGGUUAGCAAGUAAACCACAAUGUUAUAGUGCAGGAGCUAACUUUCAGUCUGUGAGAAUCCACGAUUGUUACACGAUAUUCGUACUGUUUUUCAUCGGUAGCUUUGCCGCGGUUACUGUUUUUUUAGCUGAAAUAGUUCUCAAUAAAUAUUCACGUUAUGUGUUAAAAUAGGCACAUUUUAUAUGCACAGCACAAUAAUAUGUAUUGUUCAAUGGCAACAUGCUUUCUUAAGAGUAUAUUGGUUUUGCUGCUAUGAUAACGUCAUUUAUUUGAGUUUUUAGUUGCAUAAGCUACGUACAUACGAAAUAGAAGGAAGAAGAAAUGGAAAAGUUCUUGAACGAAUAGGAAUAGAUGACAAAUAUUUAAGAAUUAUGCAGAAUCUAUACUAACACCAGUAAGCAAUGUUAGAAUUGGCCUAAUAGAUACUUAUGAAUGAAUUGGAAAUUUUCUAUGAAUUAGACAGGGGUGUAUCUUGUGACCACUGCUUUUUAAUCUGUAUUCCAAGCAUAGUUUUGAGAAAAGAGACACUUACCAGGGUUGUGGUAGGUAUCACAGUAUCACGGUAAAUGGUAAGAAUUACAACAAAUGGCACAUAACAGACAAGAAUAAAGAAAAUUUAAAAAAAGUCGGAGACCUAGUGAAACAAAGAGGAAAUAUUAUGACGUAUGUAUGUUACUACUUUUUAAUACGUUACUUAUUGAACCGUAGUGAGCACAACAUUUGGUACAACAAGUUAUCCACCUAAUACUCUCCCCCCUUUUAAGAGCUGUUCUUUCUUUAUCUCU
Molecule: RNA transcript, 1678 nt
Organism: Diabrotica virgifera virgifera (western corn rootworm)
Lineage: Eukaryota; Metazoa; Arthropoda; Insecta; Coleoptera; Chrysomelidae
Exons: 5
Source: RefSeq, a predicted model, not a curated record